RNAcentral lists this unclassified non-coding RNA (266 nucleotides) under Glomus sp. RNAcentral describes it as "partial contains 5.8S ribosomal RNA and internal transcribed spacer 2". The stretch from base 1 to 65 matches the Rfam family "5.8S ribosomal RNA", at positions 84 to 154 of the family's 154-position model. The record is from RNAcentral. Lineage: Eukaryota; Fungi; Glomeromycota; Glomeromycetes; Glomerales; Glomeraceae.
GUGAAUCAUCAAAUUUUUGAACGCAAAUUGCACUCUCUUCGGAGAGUAUGCCCGUUUGAGGGUCAGCCUCUAAAAAUCGAUAUCGUUGCUGUUUCGCGGUGGCGUUUGUUGGAAAUUGGGUCAUCUUAAUUCCUCUUGAUCUAAGCGACUUAAAAUUUUCUUUUGGUUCCAUGAACGUUUCUAAGAUCUAUUUCUUUCCACGUUUAAGGUAUCGAUUUUUACUAGACGUGACCAUUAUAUCGGAUCGAGUCCUCAAUCUUUCAUUA